This 255-nucleotide unclassified non-coding RNA is filed under the name Septoria sp. RNAcentral describes it as "partial contains 5.8S ribosomal RNA, internal transcribed spacer 2, and large subunit ribosomal RNA". The stretch from base 1 to 52 matches the Rfam family "5.8S ribosomal RNA", at positions 103 to 154 of the family's 154-position model. The record is from RNAcentral. Lineage: Eukaryota; Fungi; Ascomycota; Dothideomycetes; Mycosphaerellales; Mycosphaerellaceae.
AACGCACAUUGCGCCCUUUGGUAUUCCGAAGGGCAUGCCUGUUCGAGCGUCAUUAUCAACCCUCAAGCCUAGCUUGCGAUUGGAUCUUUCGUCGUCAAAAGACGGGUCCCAAAGCGAAUGACGGAGUCUGUCGGACCCUAGAUGCAACGAGCUCUCUACGACAGCACGCAUCAAAGGGCCCGACGGCUUUGGUCUCAACCAUCUCUUCAUAACAAGGUUGACCUCGGAUCAGGUAGGGAUACCCGCUGAACUUAA